RNAcentral lists this ribosomal RNA (253 nucleotides) under uncultured bacterium. RNAcentral's name for it is "partial 16S ribosomal RNA". It matches the Rfam family "Bacterial small subunit ribosomal RNA", at positions 524 to 776 of the family's 1533-position model. The record is from RNAcentral.
UACGUAGGGGGCAAGCGUUAUCCGGAUUUACUGGGUGUAAAGGGAGCGUAGGCGGCAGUGCAAGUCCAGAGUGAAAGCCCGGGGCUCAACCCUGGGACUGCUCUGGAAACUGUAAAGCUGGAGUGCGGGAGGGGCAGGCGGAAUUCCUGGUGUAGCGGUGAAAUGCGUAGAUAUCAGGAGGAACACCGGCGGCGAAGGCGGCCUGCUGGACCGUAACUGACGUUGAGGCUCGAAAGCGUGGGGAGCAAACAGG